This 122-nucleotide non-coding RNA is filed under the name Massilia sp. NR 4-1. RNAcentral describes it as "Burkholderia RNA 11". It matches the Rfam family "Burkholderia RNA 11". From Rfam's summary of the family: Co-purified with Hfq, expression confirmed by Northern blot. Predicted target marZ. Lineage: Bacteria; Pseudomonadati; Pseudomonadota; Betaproteobacteria; Burkholderiales; Oxalobacteraceae. The record is from Rfam by way of RNAcentral.
GCAACCUGGCGUUCGCGCGCAAGAACCGCAGCGUCUUCCUCUCCAUGCUGGGCAACUCCUGGUUCUGGUUCUAUGGCGCCAUGGUGCUGGCCCAGUUCCCGGUCUUCGCCAAGGAUUACCUG